RNAcentral lists this ribosomal RNA (435 nucleotides) under uncultured bacterium. RNAcentral describes it as "partial 16S ribosomal RNA". It matches the Rfam family "Bacterial small subunit ribosomal RNA", at positions 29 to 507 of the family's 1533-position model. The record is from RNAcentral.
AACGAACGCUGGCGGCAGGCUUAACACAUGCAAGUCGAACGCGUGCAGCAAUGCACGAGUGGCGCACGGGUGCGUAACGCGUGGAUAUCUGCCUUUUGGUUCGGAAUAACCCCGGGAAACUGGGGCUAAUACCGGAUGGUUCCUACGGGAUAAAGAUUUAUCGCCAAAAGAUGAGUCCGCGUCCGAUUAGCUAGUUGGUGAGGUAAUGGCUCACCAAGGCGACGAUCGGUAGCUGGUCUGAGAGGACGAUCAGCCACACUGGGACUGAGACACGGCCCAGACUCCUACGGGAAGCAGCAGUGGGGAAUAUUGGACCAUGGGGGGAACCAUGAUACAGCCAUGCCGCGUGAGUGAUGAAGGCCUUCGGGUUGUAAAGCUCUUUUGGCGGGGACAAUGAUGACGGUACCCGAAGAAUAAGCCCCGGCUAACUUCGUG